GAGGGGCAAACCCACCACCGAAGUGAGAUUUGGGCAGUGCUCAAUCUCCAAAUCCUUCAGUUUAAGUAGGUUCUCAUGGAGGUGUAGGACUCUUUAAGUUCUUGGACAUGGAAAUAUUCAAGGACUGAAGAGUUUUGAGCUCUAAAGAGGAGGACCUGAGCUCGUUAUUCCAUUUGCCUCCCAAGUCCUAAACUUUUGAGUGAUGGA
This 207-nucleotide long non-coding RNA is filed under the name Elaeis guineensis (African oil palm). Its description in RNAcentral is "long non-coding RNA (EGUI_LNC067388)". Lineage: Eukaryota; Viridiplantae; Streptophyta; Magnoliopsida; Arecales; Arecaceae. The record is from RNAcentral.